AGAGAUGUGAGGUUGAGAUGAUGGUGGUAGGUGGUGGUAAAUGGUAGUAGGUGGAAUAGUGUUUAAUCCAAGGGCUAUUAAUAAUCAAAAAGUAGAUCCAAUGGCUUAAAACCUAAUAGCACCAUGAUGGUGAUACUUGUAAGAAGUAUCAUAGCUCAACUCUAAUAUAUAUAUAUAUAUAUAUAGAGAGAGAGAGAGAGAGAGAGAGAGAGAGAGAGAGAGAGAGAGAGAAGGGCUGCUGUGCUCUUAGGAGCCCUCCGUGCUCCUGAGCCGUUUUCGAUGAUGGGACUCCCAAAUUGACGAUCUGCUCCGUUAGACUUGAUCUAGCGUAUUUGAAGUUUCUAGAAAAUAAUUUUUGCAAUUUUUCGAUAUCAUUUACCUAGCAAUCGAAAGGAUUUAAAAUCAAUAAUUUUUAACGGCUGAAAAUAAAAAUCCUAUAAAAAGUGGUGAUAUAGCACUAAAAUUUUCGAUCAUAAAUAUUGAUCUUGUUGUAGACAGUAUAAAGAAUUUUGUAUCAAAAUUUUAUCUGAUUUGAAUACUUCUACACUGUAAAACUUGAAAACGGCAGAUAUCAACCAUUAAAAAUUAUUGAUUUUGAAUCAUUUCGAUUACUAGGUAAUGAUAUCAAAAAAUCACAAAAAUUAUUUUCUAGAGACUUCAAAUACCCGAGAUCAAGUCUAACGGAGCCGAUCGUCAAUUUGAAUGUUCCAUCAUCGAAAAUGGUUCAGGAGCACGGAGAGCUCCAUGCUUCUUAGAGCACAGCAGCCCUGCUAUAUAUAUAUAUAUAUAUA
RNAcentral lists this long non-coding RNA (791 nucleotides) under Ananas comosus (pineapple). RNAcentral's name for it is "long non-coding RNA (ACOM_LNC008562)". The record is from RNAcentral. Lineage: Eukaryota; Viridiplantae; Streptophyta; Magnoliopsida; Poales; Bromeliaceae.